AGAGUUUGAUUCUGGCUCAGGAUGAACGCUGGCGGCGUGCUUAACACAUGCAAGUCGAACGGAAAAGGCUCCAGCUUGCUGGGGUACUCGAGUGGCGAACGGGUGAGUAAACACGUGGGUGAUCUGCCCUGCACUUCGGGAUAAGCUUGGGAAACUGGGUCUAAUACCGGAUAGGACCACUGUUUAGUGUUGGUGGUGGAAAGUUUUUUCGGUGUGGGAUGAGCUCGCGGCCUAUCAGCUUGUUGGUGGGGUAAUGGCCUACCAAGGCGUCGACGGGUAGCCGGCCUGAGAGGGUGUACGGCCACAUUGGGACUGAGAUACGGCCCAGACUCCUACGGGAGGCAGCAGUGGGGAAUAUUGCACAAUGGGCGCAAGCCUGAUGCAGCGACGCCGCGUGGGGGAUGACGGCCUUCGGGUUGUAAACUCCUUUCGCCAGGGACGAAGCGUUAUGUGACGGUACCUGGAUAAGAAGCACCGGCUAACUACGUGCCAGCAGCCGCGGUAAUACGUAGGGUGCGAGCGUUGUCCGGAACUACUGGGCGUAAAGAGCUCGUAGGUGGUUUGUCGCGUCGUUUGUGGAAUACCGCAGCUUAACUGCGGGGUUGCAGGCGAUACGGGCAUAACUUGAGUGCUGUAGGGGAGACUGGAAUUCCUGGUGUAGCGGUGGAAUGCGCAGAUAUCAGGAGGAACACCGAUGGCGAAGGCAGGUCUCUGGGCAGUAACUGACGCUGAGGAGCGAAAGCAUGGGUAGCGAACAGGAUUAGAUACCCUGGUAGUCCAUGCCGUAAACGGUGGGCGCUAGGUGUGAGUCCCUUCCACGGGGUUCGUGCCGUAGCUAACGCAUUAAGCGCCCCGCCUGGGGAGUACGGCCGCAAGGCUAAAACUCAAAUGAAUUGACGGGG
Molecule: ribosomal RNA, 902 nt
Filed under: uncultured Actinomycetes bacterium
Lineage: Bacteria; Bacillati; Actinomycetota; Actinomycetes
Description: bacterial SSU rRNA
Rfam family: Bacterial small subunit ribosomal RNA
Source: RNAcentral